UUUAAUUCGACGCUACGCGAAGAACCUUACCUGGGCUUGAACUGCUGGAGGUAGGAGCCCGAAAGGGUAACGACCCGGAGCAAUCCGGGAACCAGCAGAGGUGCUGCAUGGCUGUCGUCAGCUCGUGUCGUGAGAUGUUGGGUUAAGUCCCGCAACGAGCGCAACCCUUGCCCUUAGUUGCCAGCGGGUAAUGCCGGGCACUCUAAGGGGACUGCCCCGGAUAACGGGGAGGAAGGCGGGGAUGACGUCAAGUCAGCAUGGCCUUUAUGUCCAGGGCUACACACGUGCUACAAUGGGCGGUACAGAGGGAGGCAAAGCCGCGAGGUGGAGCUAAUCCCUAAAGCCGUCCUCAGUUCGGAUCGCAGGCUGCAACUCGCCUGCGUGAAGUCGGAAUCGCUAGUAAUCGCGGAUCAGCCACGCCGCGGUGAAUACGUUCUCGGGCCUUGUACACACCGCCCGUCACAUCACGAAAGCUGGUCUCGCCCGAAGUCGCUGAGCUAACCCGCAAGGGAGGCAGGCGCCUAAGGCGAGGUCGGUGAUUGGGGUGAAGUCGUAACAAGGUAC
This 564-nucleotide ribosomal RNA is filed under the name uncultured bacterium. Its description in RNAcentral is "bacterial SSU rRNA". It matches the Rfam family "Bacterial small subunit ribosomal RNA", at positions 945 to 1499 of the family's 1533-position model. The record is from RNAcentral.